Molecule: long non-coding RNA, 587 nt
Filed under: Populus trichocarpa (black cottonwood)
Lineage: Eukaryota; Viridiplantae; Streptophyta; Magnoliopsida; Malpighiales; Salicaceae
Description: long non-coding RNA (PTRI_LNC000105)
Source: RNAcentral
CAAGAAUCCAUUGGCCACUGCUUUAACAAGUAAAUUAAAGUUUACAAGGCAAUGUCAGAAGAAACAGAGAUUUAGAGGGUUCAAGCAGCUACUUCCAAGGGUUUUCAGUUGUCAACUUUUAAGAUGACACUCAAAUGUAUAAUAAAGUAGAUAUCACUUACCGAUCGGUUCAAUUUUAUUAUCCCAGCUGAAAGUCCUCAAGUCUUUCAUGCAGUACUUGAAUAUGUCAACAAUCUGUCAAGCAAUGAACCCAGAAUACAUGAGAUCCUGAGUAGGAUUUAGAUGACUGUUAGACAAAUCAAAACAAAUUCUCUCCGCACACGGGCAAGCACAAGUCCAAAUUUCUCUCACACCCAGCUGAUAAUAGCCUACAUGACGAACAAGAUUCAUUUAAGUUUUAUAAUAUCAUUUCCAAAAACAAGUUUUUCAAAUAUGACUAGAAGAUUGAAAAAUUGAGACCACGGUAACUAUCAAGAGAACACAAUACGAAAAAAGUGUGGGUGUAAUUUGUUUGCUGCUUGAAAUUACAUACAUGGAUACAUGCUUGACCAAUUCAUUUCAUGGAGCUAGUAACUGCAGGAAAUAAA